Long non-coding RNA from Solea senegalensis (Senegalese sole), 2053 nucleotides. RefSeq lists it as uncharacterized. The record is from RefSeq and is a predicted model, not a curated record. NCBI's taxonomy places the organism in Eukaryota, Metazoa, Chordata, Actinopteri, Pleuronectiformes, Soleidae. The transcript has 3 exons.
CCACAAGCAUUUAUAAAAGGGCGAGGAGUUGGAGACAACAAGCCACAUGUUGAUGAAACAUAAAGGUCAAACUCCCGGUACCGGAUGUAGUUCUUCAGUCGCUCCGGCAACGGCAGAAAACUCAUGAAGACAGGUGAUCGGAGAUGAAGGCGUCCAAGACAACGACGGAUCUUCAGCCGACACAGAUGCUGCAGACAGCGAGCGUUUUCUGAGGAAGAGGAGGAGGAGGAUUGAUGAGCAUCACUUCACUUCACUGUUUUGAGGACCAAUAAAGUUGGAUUUAGUUCACCUUGUAGCCUGCAGAUGUCCGGCCACUCUUGCUGCUCCAUCACAGCCGCCUUCAGUUUGGUGCACAAGGUCACGUGAUCCACGUAGUCCAGCAGGAUCCGAACAAUGUGACCCGAGAGGUGCUUCAGCCAAGAGACUGUGAUCACCUCACAGAACUGCACUGACAGACAGAGACGGCUUAAAGACAAACACCAGUGAUGCUGACGUGCAACGUGAGCGGCAAAAGAAGUUGCUCCCUAAAGGUACAGUGUGUAAGAUUUAGUGACACCUAAUGGUGACAUUGCAGGUGAAUAUCACUCACUACGCCCCUCCCUCCCAAACAUGUGGGAGAACACAUGAGCUGUGGUACAGUCCGGUACGGUUUGGAAUGGUUAAGCCCUGGAUCAGGCUUGUGUCUCGACUGAGAACAGUACCUUUACGUGUUAGGCGGUGUGUGCGCCGUGUGAGUGAGAUACGUAGCGUGACGUACCGCUGCGUGGACAACGGACGCGACACAACAGACAAUAACACAUCAGCAGCUCGGUCUUUUUCUGCUCUGUUUGUUUCAACAGGAAGUCAAACUAUGUGUGAGAAUAGACUGCUGGCGUUGAAGACGCUGACUGUCAUUGGUCUAGCUCGUCCUGUACCUUACCAUUACUCUGGUAACCCCCAAGGUAAGGGUACUGAAAAAAUCGAAGUACUGUUCCAAAAAAGUACAGUUCCAAUCUGUAAAAAUCUGCCAAUGGUAGCCUUCAGUUAAGCAAUAUCACACAAGAGUGUUGUUCAGGGUUAGGGUUAGACUGUGAUGUGGUCGUAAUGCCACACACUGAACCUUUAAAUUACUUUCUUCCUCAUUCUGAUCCUCGGUUUGAUCUUCAGCAGGUCAACUUGACCUUGUCUACAUGCCUACAUGCGUUUAGUUGCUGCCAUGUUCUUGGUUUAAUAGAUAUUCGUGUUGAUGAACAGGUGUACCUAAUAAAAUGGCCACCAUUUUAAAGAUAAAUGAUACAGACACUGAAUUUUCAGGUGUGAAGACACCAGUAAUUCUGUUCUAUAAACACAGGUUGGGGAACUGUUGGGUCCGGGUCAUAUUCAUUACCAUGGUGUCUUUGAUCACAGUGUUGCUCCAUCCCUCAUAGUCGUCAGGUAUAUGGGAGUUGUUGCCGUAGGGACAGUGAAAGCACCGCUCCACGUCGUAACCAUACUUACACAGCAUUCUGAGUACCACCUAACACACACAUACAAAACAGACCAGACUAGGAAUAGUGAAGAAUAUUGUGUAAAAGUGUAAAAGAGACAAGAGACAGUAACUUAAAAUGUAGUAAAACUGAUCAACAGCUGCAGUUUACCUCGUCUUUGAGCGCAUACUGCAGAGCUGAGGGAAAGUGUGUGGUGUUUAUUCUGCAGUAGUAGUUGACGUUGGCUCCAAACCUCAGCAACAGGUCAAUCAAUUCAUAGUUGCCCACACGCAGUGCAACCUAAGUGCAAGACUCAAUGGAUCAGCUACACUGUUGUGACAUAACUGUACAUGUGUGCCUGUUUCACUGUGCCUUGGGGACAAAUAACGUUUUAUGGAAUUGAAUUGAAUUGAAUGGGCUGUUUGUUUCCAACACACACACACCUGCAGACAUUUGAUUGGGUCUUGGUUGGUCAUGGCUCCAGCCUCCAGCAGCAGUUUGGUCGAUGGCACGUCAUUAUUGGAGACUGCGAAGAAGAGAGCUGACUUCCUCUCAUCGUCAAAGCCACGGCGAACCCAGGAGCUGAGCAUAUUGUUGGGAUCAUAACC